This 508-nucleotide ribosomal RNA is filed under the name Lasiodiplodia sp. BAB-3196. RNAcentral's name for it is "eukaryotic LSU rRNA". The stretch from base 128 to 281 matches the Rfam family "5.8S ribosomal RNA". The record is from RNAcentral. Lineage: Eukaryota; Fungi; Ascomycota; Dothideomycetes; Botryosphaeriales; Botryosphaeriaceae.
GGGCUUCGGCUCGACUCUCCCACCCUUUGUGAACGUACCUCUGUUGCUUUGGCGGCUCCGGCCGCCAAAGGACCUCCAAACUCCAGUCAGUAAACGCAGACGUCUGAUAAACAAGUUAAUAAACUAAAACUUUCAACAACGGAUCUCUUGGUUCUGGCAUCGAUGAAGAACGCAGCGAAAUGCGAUAAGUAAUGUGAAUUGCAGAAUUCAGUGAAUCAUCGAAUCUUUGAACGCACAUUGCGCCCCUUGGUAUUCCGGGGGGCAUGCCUGUUCGAGCGUCAUUACAACCCUCAAGCUCUGCUUGGAAUUGGGCACCGUCCUCACUGCGGACGCGCCUCAAAGACCUCGGCGGUGGCUGUUCAGCCCUCAAGCGUAGUAGAAUACACCUCGCUUUGGAGUGGUUGGCGUCGCCCGCCGGACGAACCUUCUGAACUUUUCUCAAGGUUGACCUCGGAUCAGGUAGGGAUACCCGCUGAACUUAAGCAUAUCAAUAAGCGGAGGAAAAGAA